Unclassified non-coding RNA from Erinaceus europaeus (western European hedgehog), 295 nucleotides. Its record names the gene 7SK. It matches the Rfam family "7SK RNA". From Rfam's summary of the family: 7SK was discovered as an abundant small nuclear RNA in the mid-70s but a possible function has only recently been suggested. Two independent studies have found that 7SK RNA binds the CDK9/cyclin T complex (known as elongation factor P-TEFb). P-TEFb activates transcription by phosphorylating the C-terminal domain of RNA polymerase II. Lineage: Eukaryota; Metazoa; Chordata; Mammalia; Eulipotyphla; Erinaceidae. The record is from Ensembl.
GGAUGUGACAGUGAUCUGGCUAUGACAUGUGUCACCUCAUUGAUCCCCAGGGUUGAUUUGGCUGAUCUGGCUGGCUAGAUAGGUGUCCCCUUCCUCCCUCACUGCUCCAUGUGUGUCCAACUGUGCGCUUGAUGGAAGAGGAUUGUCUUCGCCAAUAGAGAUGGACCAGUCUUCGCUUGAGGGUAUAUGAAUAGCUGCGUUCCCCUGCUAGUGCCUCCAAACUGAGAUUCAGUGGUGUAAUAAUGAAAUGGGCUUCCUUUGUGUGUUGCUUUUUGACAUUUGAAACAGGACCCAU